GGAAAUAUCACUUUUUUGAAGGCGAACCAAGAAGUCUGUUUUGGGGUUGAUAAAUUUCUGACAGUUGCUCCCAGAGUAUUUUCAACUCAAAGUAUAAUUUCAUAAAGAGGCUUAUUAUGUUUUAAAUUGUCUGUCUGUAAAAUAUACUUUCAUGAAAUUUUGUUUUCUCGGAAUCUUCCUUUUUCCUUCUUGUAUGAAUCUAAUGAACUUGAAUUUCCAAAGUCAUUGAG
Molecule: long non-coding RNA, 230 nt
Filed under: Homo sapiens (human)
Lineage: Eukaryota; Metazoa; Chordata; Mammalia; Primates; Hominidae
Description: HSALNT0243087
Source: RNAcentral